UACAGAGGUCUCAAGCGUUGUUCGGAUUCAUUGGGCGUAAGGGUGCGUAGGUGGCGAGGUUAGUCAGGUGUGAAAUCUCGGGGCUCAACCCCGAAACUGCACUUGAUACUGCCUUGCUAGAGUACUGGAGAGGAGAUUGGAAUUUACGGUGUAGCAGUGAAAUGCGUAGAUAUCGUAAGGAAGACCAGUGGCGAAGGCGAAUCUCUGGACAGUUACUGACACUGAGGCACGAAGGCCAGGGGAGCAAACGGG
RNAcentral lists this ribosomal RNA (252 nucleotides) under uncultured bacterium. RNAcentral describes it as "partial 16S ribosomal RNA". It matches the Rfam family "Bacterial small subunit ribosomal RNA", at positions 524 to 776 of the family's 1533-position model. The record is from RNAcentral.